AGCGAACGCUAGCGGUAGGCCUAACACAUGCAAGUCGAACGGCAGCACAGUAAGAGCUUGCUCUCACGGGUGGCGAGUGGCGGACGGUUGCGGAAUACAUCGGAAUCUACUUUUUCGUGGGGGAUAACGUAGGGAAACUUACGCUAAUAACGCAUAUGUCCUACGGGUGAAAGCCGGCGAUCUUCGGACUUUUUGCGAUUGUAUGAGCCUAUGUCGGAUUAGCUCGUUGGCGGGUUAAAGGCACACCAAGGCGACGAUCCGUAUCUGGUCUGAGAGUAUGAUUAGGCACCCUGGAAGUGAGACACGGCACAUACUCCGACGGGAGGACGCGGUGGGGAAUACUGCACGAUGGACGAAAGCCGGAUCCAGGAAUACCGCGGGAGUGAAGAAGGAGUUAGGGUUGUAAAGCCCUUUUGUUGGGAAAGAAGAGCAGCAGGUUAACACCGCACUGUUAUGACGGUACCCAAAGAAUAAGCACCGGCUAACUUCGUG
This 492-nucleotide ribosomal RNA is filed under the name uncultured bacterium. RNAcentral describes it as "partial 16S ribosomal RNA". It matches the Rfam family "Bacterial small subunit ribosomal RNA", at positions 29 to 507 of the family's 1533-position model. The record is from RNAcentral.